This 288-nucleotide ribosomal RNA is filed under the name uncultured bacterium. RNAcentral describes it as "partial 16S ribosomal RNA". It matches the Rfam family "Bacterial small subunit ribosomal RNA", at positions 28 to 348 of the family's 1533-position model. The record is from RNAcentral.
GACGAACGCUGGCGGUGUGCUUCACACAUGCAAGUCGAACGGGGUAGCAAUACCCAGUGGCGGACGGGUGAGUAACGCGUGGGAAUCUGCCUCGAGAUGGGGGAUAACUGACCGAAAGGUUAGCUAAUACCGCAUAUGCCGAAAGGUGAAAGGAGUAAUCCGUCUUGAGAUGAGCCUGCGUCCGAUUAGCUAGUUGGUAAGGUAAAGGCUUACCAAGGCUAUGAUCGUAGCUGGUCUGAGAGGAUGAUCAGCACACUGGACUGAGACACGGCCAGACUCCUACGGAGG